AGUGCGAUCGGUGGAUGCCUUGGCACCAAGAGCCGAUGAAGGACGUUGUAACCUGCGAUAAGCCCUGGGGAGUUGGUAAACGAGCUGUGAUCCGGGGGUGUCCGAAUGGGGAAACCUGGAAUGUCCGGAGUAGUGUCCGGUGACCCUGCCCUGAAUGUAUAGGGGUGUGGGAGGUAACGCGGGGAAGUGAAACAUCUUAGUACCCGUAGGAAGAGAAAACAACCGUGAUUCCGUGAGUAGUGGCGAGCGAAAGUGGAUGAGGCUAAACCGUGUGUGUGUUCAAGCCGGCAGGUGUUGCAUGUGCGGGGUUGUGGGGGCCUUUGGGUUCUGCUGCCGCAGGAUUGGCCAGUGAUAAAUGUUGCGUGAAGGUGAAGCGUCUGGGAAGGCGUACCGGAGUGGGUGAGAGUCCCGUAACUGUAAGCGUGGCACUGGUGAGGGUUACCCCAAGUAGCGUGGAACUCGUGGAAUUUCGCGUGAAUCUGGCGGGACCACCCGUCAAGCCUAAAUACUCCUUGGUGACCGAUAGUGGAUCAGUACCGUGAGGGAAUGGUGAAAAGUACCCCGGGAGGGGAGUGAAAUAGUACCUGAAACCGGUCGCAUACAAGCCGUCAGAGCCUUGUGGGGUGAUGGCGUGCCUUUUGAAGAAUGAGCCUGCGAGUUAGUGAUGCGUGGCGAGGUUAACCUGUGUGGGGGAGUCGUAGCGAAAGCGAGUCCGAUAAGGGCGUGAGUCGCGUGUUCUAGACCCGAAGCGGUGUGAUCUAUCCAUGGCCAGGAUGAAGCGUCGGUAAGACGUCGUGGAGGUCCGAACCCACUUCAGUUGAAAAUGGAGGGGAUGAGCUGUGGAUAGGGGUGAAAGGCCAAUCAAACACCGUGAUAGCUGGUUCUCCCCGAAAUGCAUUUAGGUGCAGCGUUGCGUGGUUCUUGUCGGAGGUAGAGCACUGGAUGGUCUAGGGGGCCUAUCAGCUUACCGAAAUCAGCCAAACUCCGAAUGCCGGCAAGUGGAGCGUAGCAGUGAGACGGCGGGGGAUAAGCUUCGUCGUCGAGAGGGAAACAGCCCAGAUCAUCAGCUAAGGCCCCUAAGUGGUAACUCAGUGGAAAAGGAUGUGGAGUUGCGCAGACAGCCAGGAGGUUGGCUUGGAAGCAGCCAUCCUUGAAAGAGUGCGUAAUAGCUCACUGGUCAAGUGAUUCCGCGCCGACAAUGUAGCGGGGCUUAAGUUAUCCGCCGAAGCUGUGGCAAGCCCGUGAGGGUUUGGGUAGGGGAGCGUCCUGUGCGAGGUGAAGCUGCCGGGUGACCGUGUGGUGGAUUGUGCGGGAGUGAGAAUGCAGGCAUGAGUAGCGAAUGACGGGUGGAAAACCCGUCCGCCGAUUAUCCAAGGGUUCCAGGGUCAAGUUAAUCUGCCCUGGGUGAGUCGGGACCUAAGGCGAGGCCGACAGGCGUAGUCGAUGGAUAACCAGUUGAUAUUCUGGUACCGGCUUGUCACCGUCCGUGUCGAGGUGUGUGAUGCUAAGCGUGCGAGCCUGCCUCCGCGACAUCGUUGAUGUGGUGGUGGUGUGGUGAGUGUGUGAACCGAUCAUGUAGUAGGCAAGCUGCGGAGGGACGCAGGGAGGUAGCUCAUCCCCGGCGAUGGUUGUCCGGGGCUAAAUGUGUGGACCGUCUGGUAGGUAAAUCCGCCAGGGUUGUGGUUGAGGCAUGAUGGCGAGCCCACAGGAAGUGGGUGAGUGAGUGAUCCUGUACUGUCGAGAAAAUCUUCGUGAGCGAGGUGGCUGGUCCGCCCGUACCCUAAACCGACACUGGUGGAUAGGUAGAGUAUACCGAGGCGAUCGAGAUCAUCAUGGUGAAGGAACUCGGCAAAAUGCCCCCGUAACUUCGGGAUAAGGGGGACCUGAACCGUCAAGGCUUUUACAGUUGGUAGCGGUGAGGGGCGCAGAGACCAGGGGGAAACGACUGUUUACCAAAAACACAGGUCCGUGCGAAGUCGUAAGACGAUGUAUACGGACUGACUCCUGCCCGGUGCUGGAAGGUUAAGGGGAACUGUUAGCGUUGGCGAAGCGGUGAACUUAAGCCCCAGUAAACGGCGGUGGUAACUAUAACCAUCCUAAGGUAGCGAAAUUCCUUGUCGGGUAAGUUCCGACCUGCACGAAUGGAGUAACGAUUUCCCUACUGUCUCCACCAUGAACUCGGUGAAAUUGCAUUACGAGUAAAGAUGCUCGUUACGCGCAGCAGGACGGAAAGACCCCGGGACCUUUACUAUAGUUUGGUAUUGGUGAUUGGGACGACUUGUGUAGGAUAGGUGGGAGACCGUGAAACGGCCACGCCAGUGGUUGUGGAGUCAUUGUUGAAAUACCACUCUGGUCGUUCUGGUUAUCUAACUUUGGGCCGUGAUCCGGUUCAGGGACAGUGCCUGAUGGGUAGUUUGACUGGGGCGGUCGCCUCCUAAAAGGUAACGGAGGCGCCCAAAGGUUCCC
Molecule: ribosomal RNA, 2466 nt
Filed under: human gut metagenome
Description: bacterial LSU rRNA
Rfam family: Bacterial large subunit ribosomal RNA
Source: RNAcentral